GACGAACGCUGGCGGCGUGCUUAACACAUGCAAGUCGAACAGUGGCGAACGGGUGAGUAACACGUGAGUAACCUGCCCUCCACUUUGGGAUAACUCCGAGAAAUCGGGGCUAAUACUGGUUCGUGGGGGAUGGGCUCGCGGCCUAUCGGUUUGUUGGUGAGUUAGUGGUCCCCAAGGCGUGACGGGUAGCCGGCCUGGGAGGGCGACCGGCCACACUGGGACUGAGACAGGGGCCAGACGGCAACGGGGGGCAGCAGUGGGGAAUAUUGCACAAUGGGCGAAAGCCUGAUGCAGCGACGCCGCGUGGGGGAUGACGGUCUUCGGGUUGUAAACGUCUGUCAGCAAGGAAGCGGUACUUGCAGAAGAAGCGCCGGCUAACUACGUGCCAGCAGCCGCGGUAAUAC
This 404-nucleotide ribosomal RNA is filed under the name uncultured bacterium. Its description in RNAcentral is "partial 16S ribosomal RNA". It matches the Rfam family "Bacterial small subunit ribosomal RNA", at positions 28 to 526 of the family's 1533-position model. The record is from RNAcentral.